CCCCAGCUGUCAUUGGUUAUGUGUUUAUUUGACUCAGUGGCUUGGCAGGCGUAAUCAGUGGACCAGACUGAUGCUUUCUCUUCCUACUUAGCACAGAAUAUUAAUCUCCACUAGCGCAGAAGUUGCUGUAAACAUUUCAGAUUGAUUGAGGACAUUGCAGCAGCCACAGAGACGUGAAAGAGGACUGCUGGAACUGCUUCAGAAGGCAGCAAGACCCGCGGGAGAACUGUCUGAAGUGAGGGAGGAAUACUUUGCGGGUGAUUAGUGGCGGAGAUCCAGCCCAUACCUGCUGUGACUACGGCAAGACCAGAAGUCGCUGUCAGGCGGUGGCACCCUGCACCCUGUUCCCGUGAUCAGAGCACCCUUGAUUGUGAGGACCCCCCUGUCUGGGGGCUGGACGUGGCCCUCGCUGUGUGGUUGGCCCUGCUGGCCCUAGUGCCUUAAGGCAUGGAGCUCCUUGAAAGAGAAACACAAAUCACUAAAAAUGCUGAGAUAAAAUCCUGCUCCUCAGAGGCGCCUGUUUGGCACAGGGAGCGCAUGAUAACAGCUUGCUUUAGAAAGGUGACAUUUCUGCUGAAGGCUGAAUAAUAAAAAAUGCAUUUAAAAAACUCAGCCCUUGCUUGUCUUCUGAUGGUUGACUUUUGAAGUGAAGGCCACUUCUUCAGUGUGAAGGGUCCUUUUGGAGGCUGGCCCUCAACCAUGGGAACAUUAACUUUUGUCAUCAUUGACGAGGCUGAGGAGCAUUUUAAGUUAAUUGUCACAUAAUAGGGUUUUAACUGCUUUCCUCAAGGUGCAAACACCGGGUGCUCAGAAUGUGUCAAGCUUUCAUUGUCCACAACACGGAAGGGCAGAGACAAGAUGAGGAACAAGGAUGCAGGUCAUUGGUGACCAGAACACAAAUGCUUCCAUUAUUUCAUUCUUCCCCGAAGUCUGUGAUCGACUGGGGCAGGAGAUGCUCUGGGUUUUACAGAUGGAGACGCUAAGGUCCCAAGAAGGUGACCAUGCCAGUUGGCACAGCAAGCUACUAAGCUGGCACUGGGAUGGUGGUGGUUGUGGCUCUACCUCACCGAGCACAGGCAAGUACCUUUGAAGCCAGAAGGGAGGUGAAUGAUCCUAAUAGUUGAUGACAUUCUCAUCACAUUCUGAUCCACCCAUCUCCACUCUAGGGAGAUACCUGCCAGCUGGAUCGAAACACUUGUGUCAACCGUGUCAACAUCGUGCUGUACACACAUUUACACAUUCUUGCUUGCUAACUCACCUUCCCAGACGCUACGCAGGGAGGAAGAGCCCCUUCCUCUGUCAGUGCGAGCAUAUGGGUCAGCCUCAUCAUCAGUGGGAUGACAUUUGAAGCAGCCAGCUCACCUCAAAUGCAGAGAGUUUCAUAGCAAACGAGGAGCACCUUCCAUGGAUUGGACACACAGGAGCCAGCCAUGAGUUCUGAUCUCAAGCACCUUAGUCUACGAGAAGCAGACUUCAACAUUUACCUGCAUUUCCACCAGGUUCCUGAUCUUAAGUAGCUUCUAGCUUGGUGGGGCCAGAUUUAAACAUUCGUUUCCCACUUCCACUAGUUGAGAUACAUAGACAGGUAGAUAGAUAGACGGAAAGAUACAGAGGGAGAGAG
This 1621-nucleotide long non-coding RNA is filed under the name Heterocephalus glaber (naked mole-rat). RNAcentral's name for it is "lncRNA (ENSHGLG00100042158.1)". Lineage: Eukaryota; Metazoa; Chordata; Mammalia; Rodentia; Bathyergidae. The record is from RNAcentral.